Molecule: ribosomal RNA, 478 nt
Filed under: uncultured bacterium
Lineage: Bacteria
Description: partial 16S ribosomal RNA
Rfam family: Bacterial small subunit ribosomal RNA
Source: RNAcentral
GACGAACGCUGGCGGCGUGCUUAACACAUGCAAGUCGAGCGGAGAUAAUAGCAAUAUUAUCUUAGCGGCGGACGGGUGAGUAACGCGUGGGCAACCUGCCUCGGACUGGGGGAUAACACAGGGAAACUUGUGCUAAUACCGCAUAACAUCAUGAGAUGACAUCAUCAUAUGAUCAAAGGAGUAAUCCGGUUUGAGAUGGGCCCGCGUCCGAUUAGCUAGUUGGUGGUGUAACGGACCACCAAGGCGACGAUCGGUAGCCGAACUGAGAGGUUGAACGGCCAGAUUGGGACUGAGACACGGCCCAGACUCCUACGGGAGGCAGCAGUGGGGAAUAUUGCACAAUGGGGGAAACCCUGAUGCAGCAACGCCGCGUGAAGGAUGAAGGUUUUCGGAUUGUAAACUUCUUUGAUGAGGGACGAAUAAAUGACGGUACCUCAAAAACAAGCCACGGCUAACUACGUGCCAGCAGCCGCCGUAA